Long non-coding RNA from Syzygium oleosum, 384 nucleotides. RefSeq lists it as uncharacterized. The record is from RefSeq and is a predicted model, not a curated record. NCBI's taxonomy places the organism in Eukaryota, Viridiplantae, Streptophyta, Magnoliopsida, Myrtales, Myrtaceae. The transcript is spliced from 3 exons.
UGUCUCCUCCCUAGCCAAUCCCUUCAUUAUUAAUGUAAUUUUCAUCGUCGAGAAUUGCAGCGAGCUCCGAUCCGACUUCUUUCAAUAUCAUAAUCAAAAUUCUGUCACCGGGGGAGAGGAAUUGAAUGGGAAUGGUGAAUUGUACAUUCAAAAGCACAGAGAUUUGAGGACCAAGUUGGUGGAUGGGAGUAGCUUGGCAGUGGCAGUUGUGCUCCACAGCAUUCCCAAAGGGACAAGCCAAGUUCUCCUCAGAGGCAACCUUAACAAGCUUGCUUAUGCCAUUGCCCAUGCUUUAUGUGCAAGGGGUAUCCAGGUGAAUGUAGCUUCUAAGGAUGAGCAUGGGAAGCUCAAAAGGAGUCUCAACGGUAAUUGACGAAGCAGUUU